AGCCUCCACUCUAUCCGUUGACGCUCUCUCCGAUCCCUCGUUUUUACCAUUUGACUCCAAUAUUAAACUUUGACCCUCUUGGGCCACGGGUAAACGUUGUCCGAUUGGGCUUAAACUUUGCACACAUUUUUUUUUUGGCAAAUGGGAGAUAUGCAAGGGGUGAGAGGUUUGAAAUUCCGACUUACCCAAAAUAAGGACCACCCUAAUAUAUAU
Neodiprion virginianus is the source of this 213-nucleotide long non-coding RNA. RefSeq lists it as uncharacterized. The record is from RefSeq and is a predicted model, not a curated record. The transcript is spliced from 4 exons. Lineage: Eukaryota; Metazoa; Arthropoda; Insecta; Hymenoptera; Diprionidae.